RNAcentral lists this ribosomal RNA (628 nucleotides) under uncultured bacterium. Its description in RNAcentral is "bacterial SSU rRNA". The stretch from base 1 to 541 matches the Rfam family "Bacterial small subunit ribosomal RNA", at positions 338 to 873 of the family's 1533-position model. The record is from RNAcentral.
CCUACGGGAGGCAGCAGUGGGGAAUUUUGGACAAUGGGCGAAAGCCUGAUCCAGCAAUGCCGCGUGAGUGAAGAAGGCCUUCGGGUUGUAAAGCUCUUUUGUCAGGGAAGAAACGGUGAGGGCUAAUAUCCCUUGCUAAUGACGGUACCUGAAGAAUAAGCACCGGCUAACUACGUGCCAGCAGCCGCGGUAAUACGUAGGGUGCAAGCGUUAAUCGGAAUUACUGGGCGUAAAGCGUGCGCAGGCGGUUUUGUAAGUCUGAUGUGAAAUCCCCGGGCUCAACCUGGGAAUUGCAUUGGAGACUGCAAGGCUAGAAUCUGGCAGAGGGGGGUAGAAUUCCACGUGUAGCAGUGAAAUGCGUAGAUAUGUGGAGGAACACCGAUGGCGAAGGCAGCCCCCUGGGUCAAGAUUGACGCUCAUGCACGAAAGCGUGGGGAGCAAACAGGAUUAGAUACCCUGGUAGUCCACGCCCUAAACGAUGUCUACUAGUUGUCGGUCUUAAUUGACUUGGUAACGCAGCUAACGCGUGAAGUAGACCGCCGUGGGGAGGUACGGUCGCGAGAAGUAAACGUACGAAAGAAGUUAGACGGCGUGAGACGAGACCGACGGACGACGACGAGGGAGGAGG